UAUAAAAGGUUCUUCCUGCCCGGUGACAUUAGUUUAACGGCCGCGGUACCCUGACCGUGCAAAGGUAGCAUAAUCAUUUGCCUUUUAAUUGAAGGCUAGUAUGAAUGGAUAAAUGAAGUUUAAGCUGUCUCAUUUUUAACAAUAUAAAUUAAUUUUCAGGUGAAGAAGCCUGAAUAAUAAUAAAAGACAAGAAGACCCUAUUGAGCUUAAUUUUAAAUUUAUAUUUUAAUAACAUUUAUGUAUAUUUCUAAAAAAUUAUAAAUUUGGUUGGGGCGACAAAGGACCAUAAAAAUCGUCCUUCUUAUUAAGGCCUAUUAGCUUAAAUUGAUCCGAUCUUAUCGAGCAAAAGAAAAAGCUACCAUAGGGAUAACAGGCUAAUUCUUCUAAAGAGUCCUCAUUGAUAGAAGAGUUUGGCACCUCGAUGUUGGCUUAGAAUAUCCCUUUGGUGCAGAAGCCAGAAAAGGUUGGUUUGUUCAACC
Molecule: ribosomal RNA, 479 nt
Rfam family: Bacterial large subunit ribosomal RNA